This 326-nucleotide long non-coding RNA is filed under the name Mustela putorius furo (domestic ferret). Its description in RNAcentral is "lncRNA (ENSMPUG00000030266.1)". The record is from RNAcentral. Lineage: Eukaryota; Metazoa; Chordata; Mammalia; Carnivora; Mustelidae.
ACCCUUCAUCCCUAUGUUAAUCAUUUGAUUUUCAGACUUCAUCGGUCAGAGCCUGGUCCUCCUGCCAGUCCGAGUUGAAGCGACAGGGGGCGCUCUCCAAGAGCCGUGAGUCACCACUGGGGUUCAGCUUGCAUCUCCUUCAGAUGGGAGGCCGAAGACCCCAGAAAUGGUUCAUUUCUUUUCUUUAUGGCCCCAUCUUCCCCUUCAACACAGCUCCUGUCCACUUAAGUUACUGCAAAACUUCCUUCUCCAUGCCUGAUGUGAAGCCAGCUCCUCUCAGCACUAGUCCAAUUAACAUUGCCAUAAAACUACUGACGAGAAGCUGA